CCUCGCGCUGGCAGGCUUCGGCAAUGCGACCGCGUUGUCGACGCGCUGUGAUGCGCCGGAGCAGGCGAGCCGCCCGUUCGACGCGCAGCGCGACGG
This 96-nucleotide transfer RNA is filed under the name compost metagenome. RNAcentral's name for it is "tRNA-Asp". The record is from RNAcentral.